Molecule: transfer RNA, 86 nt
Filed under: Hyphomonas sp.
Lineage: Bacteria; Pseudomonadati; Pseudomonadota; Alphaproteobacteria; Hyphomonadales; Hyphomonadaceae
Description: tRNA-Leu
Rfam family: tRNA
About the family: Transfer RNA (tRNA) molecules are approximately 80 nucleotides in length.
Source: RNAcentral
GCCGGCGUGGUGAAAUGGUAGACACAGGGGACUUAAAAUCCCCAGGCCUAACGGCCGUGCCGGUUCGAGUCCGGCCGCCGGCACCA